Molecule: long non-coding RNA, 998 nt
Filed under: Trifolium pratense (red clover)
Lineage: Eukaryota; Viridiplantae; Streptophyta; Magnoliopsida; Fabales; Fabaceae
Description: long non-coding RNA (TPRA_LNC003276)
Source: RNAcentral
UGGCUAACCAGUUUGGUACAUUCAAUGAGCUAUCAUAUGUAGGCAAUGUAGGGCUUUGUGGGCAUCCUUUGCCAACUAAUUGCUCAUCAUAUAUACCUGGAAAUGGAGAACAUGACAGAAAACGUGAAGAUGGUGUUGAUGGAGAUGAUGACAGUGAAAGAUUGGGAUUAUAUGCAAGCAUAGCUGCCGGGUAUAUCACUGGCUUUUGGAUUGUGUGUGGCAGCUUGGUGUUAAAGAGGUCUUGGAGACAUGCAUAUUUCAAUUUUGUAUGUAACAUGAGAGAUAAACUUCUGGUUUUGAUGGCAGUUAAUUUAGCACGUCUAAAGCGCGGGUUUGGAUUUGAAAGGAACUGAUGCCAUAGUAUAUUUCAUCAUAUUUAGUGUGCCUAGUGCGUUUCUGUUGUUUAAACUUUGCAGUCGAUCAUUAUUAUUAUAUUUUGCAUGUGUGAAUUGUUUAAUUUCAUGUGUGGUAUAUGUGGAUGGACUGGUGACUCUAGGGUGAAUGUUUACAAGUUAUAUUUUUAUAUUUUUCAUAAGCUUGCUCCCAUAAAUCUGUCAAGUUUGUACCAUAACACCUCUCAAAUCAUGACCAUUGGCUAUAGUCACUUUAAAAGUUUCCACUAUAUCUAUUAAUAACAAGUAUUUCAAGAAAUUAUCUAUAUAAUUUCCAGAAUUUGUAAUUUUGUAUAGAUAAGUUAGGUUCUAUUCUAUCUAUAGCUGAUCCUAAUUUAUAAUUUGAUUUUGAAGAGGAUUAUCUUCUAGCUACUUUGAAUUGGCAACAAUAAUAAUAAGUGAAUGAAAUCAGAAUUACUUACUUACCCCUUGUCCUUGUGUUGUUUCACUGCUACUUCUCAGAAAGUGAGGCGCAAUCUUCAAAAACGAAAUUUCUGUGUCCCCAAACUCAUCAAUUCGUUAUCUCUCUCUCCACCGGAAGUUCAUUCUCAAUUGCUGCCCCUGUUCUGUUCUUCACUGUUGCAUAUCUCCACCCAAAUUUCAGCU